Molecule: unclassified non-coding RNA, 206 nt
Filed under: uncultured Trichoderma
Lineage: Eukaryota; Fungi; Ascomycota; Sordariomycetes; Hypocreales; Hypocreaceae
Description: sequence contains ITS1
Source: RNAcentral
CCGAGUUUACAACUCCCAAACCCAAUGUGAACGCUACCAAACUGUUGCCUCGGCGGGAUAUCUGCCCCGGGCGCGUCGCAGCCCCGGACCAAGGCGCCCGCCGGAGGAAAAAAAACAACCAAAACCCCUUUGUAUGCCCCCUCGCGGGUCUUGAACUCUGAGAACUUCUCGGCGCCCCCCAGCGGGGCCUACCGAAAAAUGAAUCA